Molecule: ribosomal RNA, 253 nt
Filed under: uncultured bacterium
Lineage: Bacteria
Description: partial 16S ribosomal RNA
Rfam family: Bacterial small subunit ribosomal RNA
Source: RNAcentral
UACAGAGGGUGCGAGCGUUAAUCGGAUUUACUGGGCGUAAAGCGUGCGUAGGUGGUUUGUUAAGUCAGGUGUGAAAUCCCCGGGCUCAACCUGGGAACUGCGCUUGAAACUGGCAAGCUAGAGUGUGGUAGAGGGUAGUGGAAUUCCCGGUGUAGCGGUGAAAUGCGUAGAUAUCGGGAAGAACACCAGUGGCGAAGGCGGCUACCUGGACCAACACUGACACUGAGGCACGAAAGCGUGGGGAGCAAACAGG